This 437-nucleotide ribosomal RNA is filed under the name uncultured bacterium. RNAcentral's name for it is "partial 16S ribosomal RNA". It matches the Rfam family "Bacterial small subunit ribosomal RNA", at positions 29 to 507 of the family's 1533-position model. The record is from RNAcentral.
AGCGAACGCUGGCGGCAGGCUUAACACAUGCAAGUCGAGCGGGCAUCCUUGUGGUGUCAGCGGCAGACGGGUGAGUAACGCGUGGGAACGUGCCCUUCGGUUCGGAAUAACUCAGGGAAACUUGAGCUAAUACCGGAUACGUGCGAGAGCAGAAAGGUUUAUCUGCCGAAGGAUCGGCCCGCGUCUGAUUAGCUAGUUGGUGAGGUUACGGCUCACCAAGGCGACGAUCAGUAGCUGGUCUGAGAGGAUGAUCAGCCACACUGGGACUGAGACACGGCCCAGACUCCUACGGGAGGCAGCAGUGGGGAAUAUUGGACAAUGGGGGCAACCCUGAUCCAGCCAUGCCGCGUGAGUGAUGACGGCCUUAGGGUUGUAAAGCUCUUUUCUCCGGGACGAUAAUGACGGUACCGGAGGAAUAAGCCCCGGCUAACUUCGCG